AAGCGGCGGAGCAUGCGGAUUAAUUCGAUGCAACGCGAAGAACCUUACCAAGGCUUGACAUACACCGGUAACGCCCAGAGAUGGGUGCCCCUUUGUGGUCGGUGUACAGGUGGUGCAUGGUUGUCGUCAGCUCGUGUCGUGAGAUGUUGGGUUAAGUCCCGCAACGAGCGCAACCCUCGUCCUAUGUUGCCAGCGGGUCAUGCCGGGGACUCAUGGGAGACUGCCGGGGUCAACUCGGAGAAGUGGGGAUGACGUCAAAUCAUCAUGCCCCUUAUGUCUUGGGCUUCACGCAUGCUACAAUGGCCGGUACAAAGGGCUGCGAUACCGCGAGGUGGAGCGAAUCCCAGAAAGCCGGUCUCAGUUCGGAUUGGGGUCUGCAACUCGACCCCAUGAAGUCGGAGUCGCUAGUAAUCGCAGACCAGCAACGCUGCGGUGAAUACGUUCCCGGGCCUU
RNAcentral lists this ribosomal RNA (453 nucleotides) under uncultured Curtobacterium sp. RNAcentral describes it as "bacterial SSU rRNA". It matches the Rfam family "Bacterial small subunit ribosomal RNA", at positions 927 to 1382 of the family's 1533-position model. The record is from RNAcentral. Lineage: Bacteria; Bacillati; Actinomycetota; Actinomycetes; Micrococcales; Microbacteriaceae.